AUAGGACACCCCUCUCUCCUCGUGUGAUGGUAUCGCCCCAUUAGCCUCUUCUGAGUUGAUGUCACCCUUUAUCUCACUGCAGAGAUGGUAUCGCCCAACUUCACCGCUUGAGCGGCGCUUUGGAAAGGCCUCGAGAGUUUAUGGAAACGGUCAGGUGUGUUUGAAACGCCAGGCACUGGAACCUAAUGAGAAAACAAGAGCUGGAGCCCGGCCAAAAAAGGAGAGCUUGUUGGUGAUUCAUUGGACCAGACCACACCAGGCUCCCCCACCCCAAUGGGAGAUAAUAAGGCCAUUUAUAUGAGUGUCAGUGGACAGGAAGCAUGACCAUAUCUGGACUCUGAAGGACAGACAAUCAAGUCUUCAGAAGGAAAUGUUGGAAGGAGAAUGAAAGUGGUCCACCAGGAGACUCGUGGAGGGGAGGUGUGCAGUGCGUGAAAGUACACAGCUUGCAAACAGAUCCCAAUAAACUGCAUUAAUCGGCCGUGCGGCUGGCCCGAACCUGCAAGCUAGAGCUGCUCAUUUGCCCUAUUAGUGAAGAGACUUGAGCCCAUAACCAGGUGGAUAAUCUCCCGGCUUUACUGCUUUAAUUAUGCCAUAAUCAGUGCAGCGGUCGGCCCCGUUUAAAAGCAGCCAGAAGUGAUACCUCACUGAUACCUCGUCUCUCGCCACUAGCCCAUAUUCUCUAUGUCACAGCCAAGCUCCUCUUUGACGAAGCAUGAUGAAGGGCGCACUAACUUUGUAGGACAAGACGAAGCUUAAACAUAUGGCCAGAAUCCCCCAGGUGCCAUCUUCAAGAGGGCUGGUCUGUGAUCCUUCCACAGCUCAAUGCUGUUCCGUGACUCAAACUCUUUCCUCUUGAACAUAUACCACUGGAUCUCUUAUUAUGACCAAUUUUUUUUGUCGGGUUCAUAUAAUUGCAUUUUUUGGUCUAGCAUCAAGUUCCAGAACCUUUAUAUGGUAAAAGACAUACGACAGGCUAAAAAGCUGCGCAUUCUGUGAGGGUUUUAAUGGCUUAAUGAGAAUGUAGAGUCUCAUCAGUGAGCCGUGUGCUCAACAUGGCAACAUUUCAUUUCAAUAUUUACAUGUUUGUUUCCUCAGUUUAUCUUGUUAAAUGCUUCAGUAAAAUGUUUUAG
Sinocyclocheilus rhinocerous is the source of this 1133-nucleotide long non-coding RNA. RefSeq lists it as uncharacterized. Lineage: Eukaryota; Metazoa; Chordata; Actinopteri; Cypriniformes; Cyprinidae. The transcript is spliced from 4 exons. The record is from RefSeq and is a predicted model, not a curated record.